This is a long non-coding RNA of Oncorhynchus tshawytscha (Chinook salmon), 2109 nucleotides long. RefSeq lists it as uncharacterized. The transcript is spliced from 11 exons. The record is from RefSeq and is a predicted model, not a curated record. NCBI's taxonomy places the organism in Eukaryota, Metazoa, Chordata, Actinopteri, Salmoniformes, Salmonidae.
CACAUAGGAUGGCCAAUGUCAGACACAGACGACAGGACAGACACCCAGUGUAGGUCCCUGUUACUCACCAAAGUGAAUUAUUUUUAAAGUGAAUGUAAUUGAAGCAGCAUUGAUGCGUCGUGCUGCUUUGAAGACAAACAGUGUACCGCUAUGUUCACAUUACACCAUACCCUUGUAUGCAAAAUGUGUUUGUGGUAUUCUGUUGGUCUGCAGUGACCGCACCAUCCCCAAGUCCAGGCUGAUUACCUGGGACCCCUCUGAGGACUUUGUGAAGACCAGCCACAUGGUCAACACACCUGUACAGACCAUACACAUCAUGGGGAACCUGGGACCAGCGGGCAAACUUGGCCAAAAGGAGAAGGAAUGCUUGUUGUGCACGAUAAGAGCAGAUGGAAAUGGAGUGGUUACCAUCAAACCAGACUUCAACAAAGGCAAGGUUGAGACGGAGGGGGAGAAGAGGGAGGUGUGGCGUCAGACCAGAGGAGACGGAACAGCAACAGUGCAUAUAUAGACCGUUAUGUACGUCAUAAAGACUACCUCAACAGCUUGGUUGGCCAGGACUGAAAUGGCAAGCCUGGGAAAGAACUGAGAAAACGUACUAAAGAGUCAAGACAGACACCAGAAAGAGGCCCAAGAAGACUUGGAUGCAGGAACAGAGGACAGCGAGGGAUGUUCAGAACUCACUCAGUCCGGUUUGGAGAAUGACUUCUCAACCCAAGACUAAGAGCAGCUGUAAGAAAGCAUCAGUUUGGAAGCAUUUGGGAAAAUGUAAAGUGCUAAAGAAGGUUCCCGGCAAAGAGGAUUGACUGUUAUGGGUCAGAGCCAGCUCUCACAAACAGCACAUGGAAAGACAUGAAAACCUGGUGCACAACAAAAUGCAAAGAGAAAAGGCUCUCCGCAGCCGGUAAAAGGCUAGCAUGCCACGAAGAUGAAGUUCACACAGCGUUAUGUACGUCAUAAAGACUACCUCAACAGCUUGGUUGGCCAGGACUGAAAUGAUGUCAGCAAUCAAUCAACAAGACUAAUGAAAUGGGGCAAAUGAAGACAUUAGAACUGCUAAAGAUCCAGAUCUAGGAUCAGCUUCCCCUCCCCAAACCUAACAAGGACCAUUCGCGGGGGGAAUUCAAACCUGAUUCAAAGCCAGGGUCUAUUUGGGGAACUUGUCCCCUCCCCCACAACACUACAUGUGGAUGCGGCUUCCUCAGUUCACCAUGCUCAUAAAGAAAACAGCAGUGUAUUUCAGCUGCAAGCCUGGGAAAGAACUGAGAAAACGUACUAAAGAGUCAAGACAGACACCAGAAAGAGGCCCAAGAAGACUUGGAUGCAGGAACAGAGGACAGCGAGGGAUGUUCAGAACUCACUCAGUCCGGUUUGGAGAAUGACUUCUCAACCCAAGACUAAGAGCAGCUGUAAGAAAGCAUCAGUUUGGAAGCAUUUGGGAAAAUGUAAAGUGCUAAAGAAGGUUCCCGGCAAAGAGGAUUGACUGUUAUGGGUCAGAGCCAGCUCUCACAAACAGCACAUGGAAAGACAUGAAAACCUGGUGCACAACAAAAUGCAAAGAGAAAAGGCUCUCCGCAGCCGGUAAAAGGCUAGCAUGCCACGAAGAUGAAGUUCACACAGGUGAAUGGGAGAGUUGUAAAAGACAAAAAGCUUUUUAGACAUAGCUCCAAAAUGCAGGUGCUAGUUGAGCUCGUGAGCUAGUUCUGUUUUGUGGUGGAAAACUUAGUGUGUCGAGCAUAAUAUGUCAACCCUGUUACCAAUAGAUAAGGCUAGACAUUUUUUAGCAAUUUCAUUUUUUUGUCUGAAACGUCCAAUUCAAAAGCUUCCAUUCCCCUUGUCACAAGGGAUUUAUGCAUGAUUUAAUAUGAAACCCUGCCUCCCGAGUGGCGCAGUGGUCUUAGGCGCUGCAUCGCAGUUGCUAGCUGUGCCGCUAUAGAUCCUGGUUCGAGUCCAGGAGACCCAUGGGUUGGCGCACAAUUGUCCCAGCGUCGUCCUGGUUAGGGGAGGGUUUGUCUGGCAGGGAUGUCCUUGUCCCAUUGCGCUCUAGCAACUCCUGUGGCGGGCCGGGCGCAUGCAUGCUGAAACGGUCGCCAGACGAAGGCUAGCAUG